GCUGGGCAAAGUGGUGCACACCUGUAAUCCCAGCAGCUUGGGAGGCUGAGGCAGGAGAAUUGCAAAUUCAAAGCCAUCCUCAGCAACUCAGCGAGAUCCUGUCUCUA
Molecule: small RNA, 107 nt
Filed under: Marmota monax (woodchuck)
Lineage: Eukaryota; Metazoa; Chordata; Mammalia; Rodentia; Sciuridae
Source: RNAcentral